RNAcentral lists this ribosomal RNA (587 nucleotides) under Debaryomyces hansenii. Its description in RNAcentral is "partial large subunit ribosomal RNA". It matches the Rfam family "Eukaryotic large subunit ribosomal RNA", at positions 53 to 655 of the family's 3401-position model. Lineage: Eukaryota; Fungi; Ascomycota; Pichiomycetes; Serinales; Debaryomycetaceae. The record is from RNAcentral.
GAGGAAAAGAAACCAACAGGGAUUGCCUUAGUAACGGCGAGUGAAGCGGCAAAAGCUCAAAUUUGAAAUCUGGCACCUUCGGUGUCCGAGUUGUAAUUUGAAGAAGGUAACUUUGGAGUUGGCUCUUGUCUAUGUUCCUUGGAACAGGACGUCACAGAGGGUGAGAAUCCCGUGCGAUGAGAUGCCCAAUUCUAUGUAAAGUGCUUUCGAAGAGUCGAGUUGUUUGGGAAUGCAGCUCUAAGUGGGUGGUAAAUUCCAUCUAAAGCUAAAUAUUGGCGAGAGACCGAUAGCGAACAAGUACAGUGAUGGAAAGAUGAAAAGAACUUUGAAAAGAGAGUGAAAAAGUACGUGAAAUUGUUGAAAGGGAAGGGCUUGAGAUCAGACUUGGUAUUUUGCGAUCCUUUCCUUCUUGGUUGGGUUCCUCGCAGCUUACUGGGCCAGCAUCGGUUUGGAUGGUAGGAUAAUGACUAAGGAAUGUGGCUCUACUUCGGUGGAGUGUUAUAGCCUUGGUUGAUACUGCCUGUCUAGACCGAGGACUGCGUCUUUUGACUAGGAUGUUGGCAUAAUGAUCUUAAGCCACCCGUCUU